CCGUAACUAUAACGGUCCUAAGGUAGCGAAAUUCCUUGUCGGGUAAGUUCCGACCCGCACGAAUGGCGUAACGAUGGCCACACUGUCUCCUCCUGAGACUCAGCGAAGUUGAAGUGGUUGUGAAGAUGCAAUCUACCCGCUGCUAGACGGAAAGACCCCGUGAACCUUUACUGUAGCUUUGCAUUGGACUUUGAAGUCACUUGUGUAGGAUAGGUGGGAGGCUUUGAAGCAGAGACGCCAGUCUCUGUGGAGCCGUCCUUGAAAUACCACCCUGGUGUCUUUGAGGUUCUAACCCAGACCCGUAAUCCGGGUCGGGGACCGUGCAUGGUAGGCAGUUUGACUGGGGCGGUCUCCUCCCAAAGAGUAACGGAGGAGUUCGAAGGUUACCUAGGUCCGGUCGGAAAUCGGACUGAUAGUGCAAUGGCAAAAGGUAGCUUAACUGCGAGACCGACAAGUCGAGCAGGUGCGAAAGCAGGACAUAGUGAUCCGGUGGUUCUGUAUGGAAGGGCCAUCGCUCAACGGAUAAAAGGUACUCCGGGGAUAACAGGCUGAUUCCGCCCAAGAGUUCAUAUCGACGGCGGAGUUUGGCACCUCGAUGUCGGCUCAUCACAUCCUGGGGCUGUAGUCGGUCCCAAGGGUAUGGCUGUUCGCCAUUUAAAGUGGUACGUGAGCUGGGUUUAAAACGUCGUGAGACAGUUUGGUCCCUAUCUGCAGUGGGCGUUGGAAGUUUGACGGGGGCUGCUCCUAGUACGAGAGGACCGGAGUGGACGAACCUCUGGUGUACCGGUUGUAACGCCAGUUGCAUAGCCGGGUAGCUAAGUUCGGAAGAGAUAAGCGCUGAAAGCAUCUAAGCGCGAAACUCGCCUGAAGAUGAGACUUCCCUUGUGGUUUAACCACACUAAAGAGUCGUUCGAGACCAGGACGUUGAUAGGUGGGGUGUGGAAGCGCGGUAACGUGUGAAGCUAACCCAUACUAAUUGCUCGUGAGGCUUGACUCU
This 997-nucleotide ribosomal RNA is filed under the name human oral metagenome. RNAcentral's name for it is "bacterial LSU rRNA". It matches the Rfam family "Bacterial large subunit ribosomal RNA", at positions 1934 to 2925 of the family's 2925-position model. The record is from RNAcentral.